UGGGGUAUAGCCAAGUGGUAAGGCAAGGGACUUUGACUCCUUUACGCGUUGGUUCGAAUCCAGCUACCCCAG
RNAcentral lists this transfer RNA (72 nucleotides) under Streptococcus sp. RNAcentral describes it as "tRNA-Gln". It matches the Rfam family "tRNA". From Rfam's summary of the family: Transfer RNA (tRNA) molecules are approximately 80 nucleotides in length. The record is from RNAcentral. Lineage: Bacteria; Bacillati; Bacillota; Bacilli; Lactobacillales; Streptococcaceae.